RNAcentral lists this non-coding RNA (28 nucleotides) under Homo sapiens (human). The record is from RNAcentral. Lineage: Eukaryota; Metazoa; Chordata; Mammalia; Primates; Hominidae.
UGGUAAACAGUGCUGCAUCUGUGAUCUC